CCAUUUUUUAAAAAUCUACCCCGCCCCCAAAUCAACUGCUAAACCAAAUGUGAAACUACAGAAACAAGAAUGAAUUUUUGAUCUUGCACCUUGUCCAUGCAUAGCAAUUUACAAGCACAGAAAACCUGUUUUACAAUAAUACAGAGUACCUUCCACUGCCAUGCUUUUCUUGAUGAAACAAAGACUACGGGCCUGUGGGGUGUAUAUACAGGAUAUGAAAGGAGCCAAAGCUAUAACUGCAGAUGGCACUGGAAAGGGACCUGGAAGGCAUGUUCCAGCUUCUGAUGGAGGAGAUACUUCUGAGAAUUGGUGCAAGUCGAAAAAGCAGGUCAAAAGAUCUGUGAAGACAAGAUCAGUGAAAUUCACUUAUGAAACACGUCCGAAGCAACUUCAGGAAUCUGUUCUUCAUCUAGUUGGUAAAACAGAUAGACCAAACAAAGUAACUGGCCAUAAUCAGAAAAAGUGUGCAGACAAAGAAACCUAUAAGUGUGAGGUUUGUGGAAAGUGUUUCAGCCAAAGGCCAUACCUUAGGCAACAUUUGCUAACCCACACUGUAGAGAAACAUGUUAAGUGUGCUGAAUGUGGGAAAACUAUGUGCCGAAAUGCAGACCUUGUUAAACAUCAGAGAAUUCACACAGGAGAGAAACCAUAUCCAUGUAGUGAAUGUGGAAGAAGCUUUUCUCAGGCAUCAAACGCUAUUAGACACCAGAGAAUUCACACUGAAGAGAAACCGUACAAAUGCA
Hemicordylus capensis (graceful crag lizard) is the source of this 743-nucleotide long non-coding RNA. RefSeq lists it as uncharacterized. The record is from RefSeq and is a predicted model, not a curated record. NCBI's taxonomy places the organism in Eukaryota, Metazoa, Chordata, Lepidosauria, Squamata, Cordylidae. The transcript is spliced from 3 exons.